This 253-nucleotide ribosomal RNA is filed under the name uncultured bacterium. Its description in RNAcentral is "partial 16S ribosomal RNA". It matches the Rfam family "Bacterial small subunit ribosomal RNA", at positions 524 to 776 of the family's 1533-position model. The record is from RNAcentral.
UACGUAGGGGGCUAGCGUUGUCCGGAUUUACUGGGCGUAAAGGGCGCGUAGGCGGCCACCGCAAGUCGACUGUGAAAUCUCCGGGCUUAACCCGGAAAGGUCAGCCGAUACUGCGGGCUAGAGUGCAGAAGGGGCAACUGGAAUUCUCGGUGUAGCGGUGAAAUGCGUAGAUAUCGAGAGGAACACCUGCGGCGAAGGCGGGUUGCUGGGCUGACACUGACGCUGAGGCGCGAAAGCGUGGGGAGCAAACAGG